AUAACCCAAAAUGACACUACACCGGCUGACACCCAACCUUGAGUCUGAGUAGUAGAGUUUCUUACUUAGCGUCACAGGUCAAUGGCCUUGUCGCCGUGUCUGUGCUGUAGAUAAAGUGGGUCAACGGUCAAGGCCGUGGUCAGUGUCUCGACGCUCUUUACCCUGUCAAAGGUUAAAGGUUAUCAGUUCACCUUGAAGUAAAAUGAACCAGGUGGCAUAUUAAUUAAUAUCCUACAUUUGAAUUAGAAUUUUGAACAAUUGACCAAUCAUCCUCUUGUGUUGGCACGUUGCCUGUAUGUCGCAGUUGGACAGGUGGUCAACAU
Physella acuta is the source of this 323-nucleotide long non-coding RNA. RefSeq lists it as uncharacterized. The record is from RefSeq and is a predicted model, not a curated record. Lineage: Eukaryota; Metazoa; Mollusca; Gastropoda; Physidae.